CCUACGGGGGGCAGCAGUGGGGAAUAUUGCACAAUGGGCGAAAGCCUGAUGCAGCAACGCCGCGUGAAGGAAGAAGGGUUUCGGCUCGUAAACUUCUAUCAACAGGGACGAAAGAAAUGACGGUACCUGAAUAAGAAGCCCCGGCUACCACGUGCCAGGAGGCGCGGAUACACGUAGGGGGCAAGUGUUAUCCAGAAUUCCCGGGUGUAAAGGGGGAGUAGGGGGCAUGGUAAGCUAGAUGUGAAAGCCUUGGGCUUAACCCGAGGUUUGCAUUUGGAACUAUCAAGCUAGAGUACAGGAGAGGAGAGCGGAAUUCCUAGUGUAGCGGUGAAAUGCGUAGAUAUUAGGAAGAACACCAGUGGCGAAGGCGGCUUUCUGGACUGAAACUGACGCUGAGGCACGAAAGCGUGGGGAGCGAACAGGAUUAGAUACCCUUGUAGUC
RNAcentral lists this ribosomal RNA (442 nucleotides) under uncultured bacterium. RNAcentral's name for it is "partial 16S ribosomal RNA". It matches the Rfam family "Bacterial small subunit ribosomal RNA", at positions 338 to 795 of the family's 1533-position model. The record is from RNAcentral.